UUAAGUUCAGCGGGUAUCCCUACCUGAUCCGAGGUCAAAGUAAAAAAGAGGCUUAGUGGGAGGAGGUCUGCUAGGCGUGACGCAAUGUGCUGCGCACGAAACCAACAUACCGGCUGCCAAUGAAUUUAAGGCGAGUCCACACACUAAGGCGGAACAAACACCCAACACCAAGCAAAGCUUGAAGGUUUAAAUGACGCUCG
This 200-nucleotide unclassified non-coding RNA is filed under the name Pleosporales sp. Its description in RNAcentral is "partial internal transcribed spacer 2". The record is from RNAcentral. Lineage: Eukaryota; Fungi; Ascomycota; Dothideomycetes; Pleosporales.